UACAGAGGGUGCGAGCGUUAAUCGGAUUUACUGGGCGUAAAGCGCACGUAGGCGGUUUUUUAAGUCAGAUGUGAAAGCCCCGGGCUCAACCUGGGAAUUGCAUUUGAAACUGGGAAACUAGAGUGUGUGAGAGGGGGGUAGAAUUCCAAGUGUAGCGGUGAAAUGCGUAGAGAUUUGGAGGAAUACCAGUGGCGAAGGCGGCCCCCUGGCACAACACUGACGCUCAGGUGCGAAAGCGUGGGGAGCAAACAGG
This 253-nucleotide ribosomal RNA is filed under the name uncultured bacterium. RNAcentral describes it as "partial 16S ribosomal RNA". It matches the Rfam family "Bacterial small subunit ribosomal RNA", at positions 524 to 776 of the family's 1533-position model. The record is from RNAcentral.